Pipistrellus kuhlii (Kuhl's pipistrelle) is the source of this 657-nucleotide long non-coding RNA. RefSeq lists it as uncharacterized. The transcript is spliced from 2 exons. NCBI's taxonomy places the organism in Eukaryota, Metazoa, Chordata, Mammalia, Chiroptera, Vespertilionidae. The record is from RefSeq and is a predicted model, not a curated record.
AUUUCAACUAUGUACACAUUUCACAUUGAAAAACAUAUUAUGAAUUUUUACAUAUAAGGAUACUAAAAGGUAAGUACUGACAAUUUUCCUUCUUAAGAGUAAACAAUAUGUUGUGAAAUGCCUCUGUGACAUACUGUGCUCUCCCCUAGAGCUGAUACAACUCUAAAAUAGACAUAUUUGCAGAAAAUAUUCUCAUUUAUAUUAAUGUAGCCAUAUUGCUUCUCUAAGGAAAUAUUUAUAAACAUUGCUACUGUGUUCCAGAAAUGUUUUAAGAAGAAAAUCAUUGUAUAUGAAUCCUCUACAAUGGAAAAUAUUAUAAUAACGUUUCCCCUGAUAGAAUUCAAAAUUGUGCAUGUCACAGUAAACAAAGUGAUAUGAGUUCUGCAUCAGAGCCUAGGGCUAUGGCUGGGGUGUCAUGAUUCAUUUUCAGUUCGUUAUUAGCACUUAUUGCCUGUCUGACACCAGACAAGCUAUUCAAACUACUGGAUUCUUCCUAUUUUAUUUAUUUUAUUUUAUUUUAUAAUAUUUAUUGCCAGAGUUCACAGCCAGCAUUGGCUGUGGCAGGAAACUCAGAGCACCCAGAAGCUUCAGUACACCAGUUGGAGACCUGUCUAAAUGAGAAAGAAAUGGUAUAUCAUUUCACAGUGUACCCUGAAG